UACGUAGGGUCCGAGCGUUGUCCGGAGUGACUGGGCGUAAAGCGCGCGCAGGCGGCCCUGUAGGCGCGACGUGAAAGCCCCGGGCUCAACCCGGGAGGGUCGUCGCGAACCGCGGGGCUUGAGGCCGGUAGAGGUGGGUGGAACUCCUGGUGGAGUGGUGAAAUGCGUAGAGAUCAGGAAGAACACCCGUGGCGAAGGCGGCCCACUGGGCCGGUGCUGACGCUGAGGCGCGAAGGCGUGGGGAGCGAACGGG
RNAcentral lists this ribosomal RNA (253 nucleotides) under uncultured bacterium. RNAcentral's name for it is "partial 16S ribosomal RNA". It matches the Rfam family "Bacterial small subunit ribosomal RNA", at positions 524 to 776 of the family's 1533-position model. The record is from RNAcentral.